RNAcentral lists this ribosomal RNA (581 nucleotides) under uncultured bacterium. RNAcentral's name for it is "partial 16S ribosomal RNA". It matches the Rfam family "Bacterial small subunit ribosomal RNA", at positions 355 to 929 of the family's 1533-position model. The record is from RNAcentral.
UGGGGAAUUUUGGACAAUGGGGGAAACCCUGAUCCAGCCAUCCCGCGUGUGCGAUGAAGGCCUUCGGGUUGUAAAGCACUUUUGGCAGGAAAGAAACGUCGCGGGUUAAUACCCCGCGAAACUGACGGUACCUGCAGAAUAAGCACCGGCUAACUACGUGCCAGCAGCCGCGGUAAUACGUAGGGUGCAAGCGUUAAUCGGAAUUACUGGGCGUAAAGCGUGCGCAGGCGGUUCGGAAAGAAAGAUGUGAAAUCCCAGAGCUUAACUUUGGAACUGCAUUUUUAACUACCGGGCUAGAGUGUGUCAGAGGGAGGUGGAAUUCCGCGUGUAGCAGUGAAAUGCGUAGAUAUGCGGAGGAACACCGAUGGCGAAGGCAGCCUCCUGGGAUAACACUGACGCUCAUGCACGAAAGCGUGGGGAGCAAACAGGAUUAGAUACCCUGGUAGUCCACGCCCUAAACGAUGUCAACUAGCUGUUGGGGCCUUCGGGCCUUGGUAGCGCAGCUAACGCGUGAAGUUGACCGCCUGGGGAGUACGGUCGCAAGAUUAAAACUUAAAGGAAUUGACGGGGGUGCAUAGCUG